RNAcentral lists this ribosomal RNA (254 nucleotides) under uncultured bacterium. Its description in RNAcentral is "partial 16S ribosomal RNA". It matches the Rfam family "Bacterial small subunit ribosomal RNA", at positions 524 to 776 of the family's 1533-position model. The record is from RNAcentral.
UACGUAGGGGGCAAGCGUUGUCCGGAUUUAUUGGGCGUAAAGAGCUCGUAGGCGGUUCGGUAAGUUGGGUGUGAAACCUCCAGGCUCAACCUGGAGACGCCACCCGAUACUGCUGUGGCUAGAGUCCGGUAGGGGAGCGUGGAAUUCCUGGUGUAGCGGUGAAAUGCGCAGAUAUCAGGAGGAACACCAGCGGCGAAGGCGGCGCUCUGGGCCGGAACUGACGCUGAGGAGCGAAAGCGUGGGUAGCAAACAGG